RNAcentral lists this long non-coding RNA (1218 nucleotides) under Marmota monax (woodchuck). Lineage: Eukaryota; Metazoa; Chordata; Mammalia; Rodentia; Sciuridae. The record is from RNAcentral.
GAAGAAGAGGAGGAGAAGGAGGAGGAGGAGAGGAAGAGUGAAGAGGAGGAGGAGCAGGAGCAGGAGGCCGCUGGCCUGCAGGGAGGACGGAGGGACUGUGGGCACACUAGAGCACACCGAGGGCGAACAGUCCUACAGUGGGCAGAAGGGACCCAGCUCAGACUUGCCCAGCUCACAGCUGCCCAAAGGUACGUGGAAUUGAGAAGAGUGUGACCUAAAUUUGCGUCUCUCGCCUGGAUGUCAUGUACCCAUCAAAGUAACGGAAAUGACUGUGGAAUGCACAGAACCCUGGGAAUUAUAUUUCCCACCAAAUCUCCCUGUCAAUCUACCCAUUUCCAAUAACAAAGUCAAAAAAAGGACGUACACUUCCUUUUCUCUUCCCUUCUUCUCCCUUCUUUCUUUCCUUUCCUCUCUUCCUUGAGUCUGUUAGGGCCAGCCGGGAGGCAAAGGGUUAGGGUUAGGAGGCCCUGAGGCUAAGGACAAUGUCCUGAGCUGGCGUCUUUCUGGAAGGCUGGAAAUGCAGGAGGAAGUCCAUCUAAGGAGUGCUCCCAGAUCCUUCCCUCUUCCAGGGGAAGACCUGUGGGGCUGCUGCAGCCAGGUCCCCCCAGGGGUGCAGGAGGCCGGUGCUCACAUGGCCUGUGCCCCCCGCCACUGGAGCACGCACCUGUUCCCUGGGUCUGCACGGAGCAGACACUUGCAGUCCAGGACACUGCCCUGCUGUCCACUGAGCUGCAGACACUUCUGUUGCUCUUGCUCUGUAAGCCCUAACAGUGUGGCGUCCUCUGGCUGGGCCACCUUAGCCUUUUGUCCUGUAGGAAAGCUGAUUCCCUGAGCUGCACAGGGCUGUCCCCUGACCCAGAGGAAUCUGAAUGUGUCCCUCAGUGGGAGAGGACACCCCACUUCUAGCCUUGCUUCUCCACACGAGGGUCCACACUUCCCGAGGAGACCUUCCUUCAAGUUCCGUUACCUCAGGCAGGCCUGACCCUUGUCAGGGGAGCUGACCAAAUCCCAGGACUCAUGUUCCCAAUUUUGAAGCAGAGGACUUGAAACAAAAGUUUAGUUCUCUCUUUGAACAAAGAGCCAGUGAAUGUCUGGAAACACAGAGUGUAGGAAGACCAGCAGAAGUACUCAGGGCAUAAGUUAAGUAACCAGCCAGAUCGAAGGGAGGUAGUGACCUGGAAGACAGAGCCAGAAAGCCACCAAGGCCACAGAAGACAA